UCCACGAAGUAGAAACAAACGUGAUUGAGUCUGUGACUUUGACUGCAAAUGAUGUUGCUUCUGAAUUUGCUGAAACUGCUGCAGCUUCAAAUCAAAGUUUAUACCAUUAUGCAUGUCAUGCAAAUAAUCAUUGACGUCCCCAUCCUCAGAGAUUUGUGAGCCGCCUCCUCCAUAAUUAAAUUGAGAAUAAGGAAUCCCAGAUGUUCUCCUAAAUCUCUCUUUUCAUUGAGGUCCCCAUCCUCAGAGAUUUGUGAGCCUCCUCCUCCAUAAUUAAAUUGAGAAUAAGGAAUCCCAGAUGUUCUCCUAAAUCUCUCUUCCUUGAAGGAGUAUGAAGGCACAGUUUUCAAACGAGUGCGAAGAACCUUAAAGGCUGCACUUUGCUGCAUCAAUUGAUUAAAAGAUACUUUAGAUUAGCAAUAUAUUAUUACGAGUCUAUGACUAAUUGACUAUCUAUUGAGUCCUUAGCUUUUGAAUGAUAUAUUUAACUUUAGAUUAGCAAGAGCACAUAUAAUUGCAUUCUAGUGAUGAGGAUAUGGAAAUUUGGCAUGCAAUAUUUCUUUUUUGACUUACAACAACAACAACCCAGCAUAAUCCCACGUAGUGCAGCAUAAUCCCAUGUAGUGGGGUCUGAGGAGGGUAGUGUGUACGCAAACCUUACCCCUACCUGGGGUAGAGAGGUUGUUUCCAAAUAGACCCCCGGCAUCCUUCCCUCCAAGAACUUCCCACNNNNNNNNNNNNNNNNNNNNNNNNNNNNNNNNNNNNNNNNNNNNNNNNNNNNNNNNNNNNNNNNNNNNNNNNNNNNNNNNNNNNNNNNNNNNNNNNNAGAACUUCCCACCUUGCUCUUGGGGAGAUUCGAACUCACAACCUCUCGGUUGGAAGUGGGGGUUGCUUACCAUCAGAGCAACCCCUCUUACCAUCAGAGUAACCCCUCUUUUUUGACUUAGGCACACACAUAUCACAUGUCAGAUAGGAAAGCAUCACUGAUGCGAAAUUUUACAUUAAACCUCACAUAACUGACAUUAGUUGUGUCAUGUGUGAGCGUUUUUAUCAGUUGACAAGUGUACAUUGUGGGUCCCACACAAUCUUCAUUCUCAUGUCCUACCUUCUCCACCCACCAGUGCAUUGUAAGUGGAGAUGAAUACACCACUAGUCUAAUUUUCUUACUCGCUGACACAUCACAUACCCUCUCCGCCAUGUUCUCUCUCUUCAACCUCAUCCAAUCCCCAUAUCCUCCAGUUUAAGGUCCGAAAUUGGAGCGCUACUAACCCACAACCUCAUCUCUAUUUUGAUUUGGGUAAUGAAGUUUGAGAAAUCAUAAAAAAUCAUGUCCGGGUUGGAAGGAAUUGAAAUAUGGAUAGUGUAUAGAGUAAAAGUAAGGGUGGUGCUGUUAAGAACUCUCAGCGGCAAAUGGGGUUGUGGAAAAACUGAAAAGAUGGGUUGCCAAUAGGAGACCUUGAAGAGUUUGGUUCUAGUCUGGUAGAAAAAAGGAAGAUGAAAUUUUUCCUCUUUGGACGUUUAAGUUGAAACAACAGGCUUCAUUGAUUUGGCAAACUAUAUUGCUUCAAGGGAAAAGGGGCAAAAAUAGCCCUCUACUAUUAUUUAUUGUUUAGAUAUAUCUUCCGCUAUACUAUCGGACCGAAUAUACCCUUACUGUUAGGCAAACAUUCAAAUUUGCCCUCAUUUUAACGGAUUGAACACGUGGAAACUAUUAAAUAGAAGAUCCACCACUUGAAUAAAAAGACCCAGCCCCAUAUCCUAAUCCAUAGCCCAUUCGAACCUCCCCUCUCCCAUUAAAAUCAUUUAAUCCGACGGGCAGUAAUUGGGUAUUUGCUAAGGGCCGGCGAAGAGGAUGUUGUUGUGGUUGAUAAUCCAUAUGCUUUUGCUUGAAGAAUUUUGAAUUUAACAAUGUUUCUUGAAAUGGGUUUGGUUCUUGUUUUAUGUAUCCAUAGAAAAUAUAUAGAAAAAUGAUAAUGAAAAUGUUUUUCUCGGUUUGGGUCCUAGGCCUGCUGAUCUUUUUCGAUUCCUUCUGUUGAGUAUUUCUGGAUCUGAAUACUAUUAUUUUUCAUUUCUACUUUUGCUAAUUAUUGUUUUUACAAUUUUUUGGCUCAUUUAGGCCUCAUUUAUUUUAUUAAAGAUUAAGACGUCUGAAUCUGAAUACACAUCUAAAUAUCAAGAUGUGUAUUAAAAAAUAAUAAAAGUUAAGAUUGUUUGAUUUUUAACAUCUGAAUGCAUAAAAUUUAUCUUUAUUUAAAAAAUAAUAAAUAUAAAAUUCAAAUAAAAUACUAACUAAUCUAAUAUUCUAUUAAUAAAGUAUAUAGUUUUUAAAAUAUGAUAGUUGUUGGUGGUGAUGGCUAACGGGUGAAUGCCGACUAGAGGCAGUGGUUCGUGGUAGUUUUGGUUGAUGAUGGUGGUUUCAUGCUAGUAGCUAGUAGUGAUUGGUAGUGGUGGCGAUUAUGAUUGAGGAUGGUGGUAGUGGGUGGUGAUGGUUGUUAGAAUAUGUAAUAGUAGAACCCUAAUCCAAUGUGUAUUAGGAGUAGCCUAAUCCAANNNNNNNNNNNNNNNNNNNNNNNNNNNNNNNNNNNNNNNNNNNNNNNNNNNNNNNNNNNNNNNNNNNNNNNNNNNNNNNNNNNNNNNGGAGUAGCCUAAUCCAAUGUUUAUUAGGAGUAGGAUAGGUUAUGUGUAUAUAUAUAGGGCUCAUUGUAUCAUGUUUAAUAUCAAUUAUAUUUUUCUCCUUUGCUUUCUCACAAUAGUUAAUCAUGGGGGUGGUGGUAGGGGCGGACCUAUGUGCAAUCAAGGGGGCACGGGCACCCGUUAAGCUCGGAAAAAAAAAUCCUAUAUCUAUAUGUAUAUAUAUAUGCUCUAUACCUUGAGAACGUUUAAAUAUUUUAUUAGGCACCCUCAGACACAAAAGCUUGUUUGGGUCACUGGUUGCCUUUGCAGUUUAAGGCUGCUCUUAAGCUUGGAGAUUGGGGUUCGAUUCCUAGCUUCAGCAAUUCCUUGUAAGCCUAGGUUUCUUUCCUUUUGGCUUUUUUUCUUUAGUUUCUGGUUCUUUUUUUAAUGUUUUCUUCAGUUUCGGCCCCAACCCUCCUCAUAAAUAUAGAUAUAUAGAGAAUCAUUCUUCCUCAAUCUCUGGUUAGUGCUUCUCUUACUUUGAAACUCGAUUUUCUUUUUAAUUGAAGAAUUUUAGUAUUAUAUUCAAUAAGUUGAAGUAUUUGUUUUAUUCAUUAUAAGGUUAUGUCCUCCCUCAUUAGAAGACCUGAGUUCUGAGUUCGAGACCCAACACUAGCUCUUCUUUUUUAUUUGUUUUUCUCUUGGAAUUCACAAAGUGUAGUAUCCUGUAUUUAGUGUUUAAUUUUGUUCUUUAUCUUUUCUAAGUUAAUGAACAAUAAUUUUGAACUAAUAUAUAGAAGGGGAUAAGAUAUUCCAUUAACAAAAAGCCUUUAUCCUUAUAUCUAAGUUUAUAAGCGUUAUCACUUUAUUGACAUAUAUAAAAUUAAGUAAUUCACCAAAAAAUUUCCCAAAACAAUAAUUAAAUACUCCAAAAAGUAUUCUGCUUUCAAGGAUCACUUCGGCAAAGUAGCAAACAUCAAUCGAUUCAACGACAGUGACUGAGACUCUGCAUUGCUUAAUAGAUCUUUAGUCUUGAUCAUAUUUGACUAAGUUUUUUUUUUUAUAUUUUUGAACAUCUUUUAGGUCAUUAAUUCAUAUUCAUCAAGUUUUGAAGGCGUUAGUGCGCUAAAUUUUGUCGUUAUUAGCUGACAUAUCUAUGUCAAAAAUAACAGUGCCCCCGCUGCGCUCAAAUCCUGGAUCCGCCUCUGGGUGGUGGUUUGUGAUUGAGGAAGGUGGUGGUAGGUUAUAAUGAUGGGAGGUGGCAACUGUGGUGUUAAUGGUGAUGGAGUGGUUGGUUAUGGUAGUUGAGGUGGAUAAGUGUUGACUGUGGGUGAGAAUGAGGAUGGUCGGAGUGGUAGGGAUGGUGAUGGUCGAUAAUGGUGGCGACUAUGAUUGAGGAUGAUGGUGGUGAUGGUGGUUGACUAUGGUGGUAGUGGUGGUGGUGGCGGCGGCAUGGUGGUAGUUGAUAAUGGUAGGCAGUGGCGGCAGUUAUUAAUGAAUAUAUGAUAGCAUCUUAAUGAAAUUAAGUCUAUGUUAUAGAUCUUACCAUACAUACUUAUUAAGACCCAUUAAGUGGUUCUGAAAUAAAAAAAACAAACACACUUAAUGAUUAAAAUCUAAAUAAUUAAGAUUCAGACUUUAAAAACAAACGCACUUAAUGUAUGAGAUCUGAAUGAUUAAGAUUCAGACCUCCAUUAAGUGCAAACAAAUGAGGCCUUAGUGGUGUUUGCUACAAAAUUUUGAUUUUUAAUAAUUAAAAUUUUUGCAAGAUUGUUUUGAGCAUACCACCAAGAAAGAUAAGUUUUUUCCUCUUUGCAUAAGUCGACAAACUAUCUUAAAAUCUUCUUUUUGAAAGUCUUUAAAAGAAUUUGAAAAUUAUUAUAAAAAAACUCUUCUUCAAAUUUUUUAAGCAAACUCCGUCAAUAGCAGGCUUUAAGAGGAAUUAAAGAUUCUGUUAUCAUGUUGUGUUACUAUAGUGGAAACCUUUUAAAUUUUCUGUCAUGAUCAGUUUGGUAGAUCAGUUAUGAAAUCUAAUUUUGUUUUUUACUUCAUACCAUAACAGUCAGACGCCUGUGCAUUUACUGAGAAAGAGAAAAUGAUCAAGGAUUAUGGGUUUAGAGUGGUUUUAAUGGGAGGGGGAGAGGUCCCAAUGGGCUAUGGGUUAGGAUAUGGGGUUGGGUCUUUUUAUUCAAGGGUUGGAUCUUCAGUUUAAUAGCUUCCGCAUGUCCAGUCCGUUAAAGUGAGGGCAAAUUUGGAACUUUGCUUAACGGUAAGGGUAUAUUCGAUUAUGAUAGUAUAACGGAUGGUAUAUCUAAACAACAAAAAAUAGUAGAGAAUAUUUUUAGCUCUUUUCCCUUGCUUUAAUAAAACACCACCAAGUAGCUAUUGGCUAAGAGAUCUGAUAGCUUUUGAAGGAGAUUUAGUUUCCUUGGAGCCAAUUCUACCAACAGGGGAUUGAAGAGACCGGCCGAAGGAGGAAGCAGAGUGAAGGAAAUAAGGAGAAAUCUAUGGGUGAAGAGCUGGGUGAGAGAGAGGAAAGAGACGAGGGAGAUACUGGGCCUGCAUCAGACACCUGUCAUGUACUUCAAAUCUCACACAAGUAUACAUGUGUCUCAUUAAUUGUAAAAUUUCUCAUCGCAGAUAAUACAGAAGAAGCAAGAGAGCGACAAUAAGCAAAUAUUCACUUUAAAGGAAAAUGAAUAUUCAGAUUAGCUCUUUGUUAGAGUUGUCAGUAUGAUUAUGUUCCUGUACAAGAGAGCGACAAUAAGCAAAUAUUCACUUUAAAGGAAAAUGAAUAUUCAGAUUAGCUCUUUGUUAGAGUUGUCAGUAUGACUAUACAUGAAAAAUUAAGCAAUUAUGAUCACUUUUAAGCGUAAAAUCAAAGCCCUGUGACACCAAUUCUAACGAUAUAAACAAGUAAAAGCUCACUGAACUACUCAUGCGACCGUAUGCUCAGCUUUUGGCACUGUAUUAAAUUAGACUCGAGAAACUAAACUUGCAAACAAAAGCUAAUACAAGGAAACUCUUAAGACACACAUACCAGAUGAGAAUUUUCUUUUUUCGUUUUUGAGAAAGCCAGAUGAGACUAUUUUUUAUGCAAUCUUUAUAAAUGUCUCUCAAGAACUAUAGAAGCUGCAGGAACUUCUGGAACGAAAGUGCUUGCUUCUCUCUAGAACCUCAAACAAUAAUCAAGGUAUCCACUUGUUCAUUUCUGUGAAUCAACCAAAGAACGUAAGAAAUGCUAAGAGCUCCGUUUUGAAUAAAAAGGUGACUGCCUGGACACUAAUAUUGUUUGACGAUGACUGUCAUGCGAAACGAAUUAGACUGUAGUUAAUGUUCUCUGUUUCUACUUAUGAAACAAAGAACCUGAUAAAAUGCCUAAAACUUGCCUACUCGGGAGAUUCGAUCAGAACUCUCAAUAAAUGGUAGUAAGCCGGUUAUAGGAGCAUGUAAUGCAGGGACAUGCCGAAUGACAAAACAUACGCCCUGCUCCACAUGGAAAAAUUCGUCACAAAUGGAAAAUUGGUUUUCAGUGCAACCUAUGUACUGACAUUAUUAAUAUAUACAAUAGUUACCAAUUCAAAAAGAAAAGGAAUGAUGGAGGCUGCAAAUGGAGUCGAGAGACUAAAUUGAAUCUGUUAGACUGUUACUCAGCAGAAGCCCAAGAAACAUAAUAUCCAACCCAACUGUCAGAUAGACACCUGAUGCUACAUAUUGAGAGUGUACGGAAGAGGCAACAAGAACACCUAAUACACAGAAAAGAUAGACAAAGAGCCCAAACUCGUUGAGCAAUGUCUGGCCUUCUAGAGUUAGGUCACGAUGAAAAACUAAGGAAGGUGCAUAUUUAAAACUGUCGUGGAAAGAUCAGACAAAGAUGGAGCCAAAGGAAGAAUGGCCCAAAGCUUGACCAUGCUCCACAAUGCCCAGAAAAGUAACUCAGGUUGUGAAGGACUUACAUCUGGCCUGGCCCAUAAUCCUUAUUAAAAGAGCCCACAGCAGAAUUUAAUCAAAAAACCAACAACAAUGUCCAACCGAUAUUGUGGUCCCUUAUUGCUUCCAAAUCAAGUUAAUGGGAAAGCGGCCAUAGAAAACGGAGAAAACAAAGCAGCAGGAGGUGGCUGGAGACAAGUCAACAAACUACUACUUGCCCCUGAUUUUCAAGGUCAAAGAGUCCAGCAGCGUACACAAGGAAACAAAUGAAGACUACCAAUCUUAUUUGAGGGCGGCGAAGCAAUAGGACAAAAUAGGCCAGGCGCCAUAGAUCCAAAAUCCAAGUUCAGCACCAGAAGCAGGUUGGAAAACCCUAUUUACUGCAAAAGAAAGAAGGUCAGGCACGAAAUGAUGGGAAAUUGAGAAAAAGUUGGAAGAAGCAGGCCAAAUACUGAAGAACCCUAAUGGCGAGAGUCGGUGCAUUGGCAGCGAAAAAGCAACAAUCAGGUAGCAGCUUCUACGUGGAAAGAAAGUCGCACCUCUGGGAAGAAAUUCCAGCAGAAGACAGUAAUAAGAGGAGCAAGUGGUUCGAAAAGGUAGAGGGAGCAGGGGCAACUUUGAGGGAUUGGAAACAGAUGAUGGGACAAGAACGAGAUGCGAAUGGGCAAAGUUCAGGUUUCCAAAGGGUAGGCAAAAAGAUUCUAGGAUUUGGAAAAACUUUCAGGUUGUCUUUUUAGGUUGAAAGGGAGAACAUUGCAAUUGUUAUCAGAAGUUUAAAGUGGAGGCGGCGAAUUGUUAUGAACAGCAAAGAGAGUUGGGUUCGAAGAGUGAGUGAUAUGAGGAUUUUAGCGAUGCCAUAGAAAGUGAAUUUGGGGGCUUGACACAAAGUAUCAGGUAUUAUGGGAGGUGUCAUCUACCUCAAAAAAAAUUAAAAACUAUCUCAAAAAUUAUGGGAGGUGUGUAUCAUAGCGGACAACUAUGGGACUCAGGAAGUGGGUUAUAGGACUACUUAGACCACCAUGCCAUGUGGUGGAAGCCUGUGGAAAAAAAUAUUUGAAAUAAUAGGAGUUCUUCAAAAUAUUAACUUAAAGAUGGAGAAUGGAGCCCAGGUGAUUUAUGGAGACAAAUUUUUUUCUGAGAGAAAUAACUGUAUCACAAAGCAGCACUAAGGAGAAAAUCACUUCCCCGCAAUUUGCAAGAUUUCUUGUCAACAUACAACAGAUUAGCACAGUAUAUAGGUUUAGAUGAAUCUGCACGACUGAGAAGUGCAAAAGGUCCAGACCCUCCUCGAGCUGUUUAUAUAAGGAGAAAAUCUCAAUCUUUCUCAAUCAUGUUUGAAGACAAUCGAGAUGGGAGACACAUAUGUAACAAGGACUACACAGUAGUUAUUCAAUCACAGAUUUCAGAGGACAUGAUUUUUCUCGCUCAGUUUGGGUUCCCAAAGCCCAAGAAAGGUAUAAUUUUUAAUGUGAUUUAGCUCAGUGGGGAAGCCACACUUGCAUUGAUGAAACCAAGGAAAAAGAUUGUCAGCUCAUGCUUCAUUUAUAAAAAGGCAGGGUAUAAUGUGAACCACUCAUUACUUUAUUUUUCAAUUGGCACGCAGGCUAUGCAGACAGCCUGGAACUUUUAGGAGCUUGAUUGAGUGACGACUUCAGACACCUUCAAAAGGAUGCUGCAAAGUUGGCCAUUAGGGAGGAAAAGGAGUAAAGAAGGGAAGUGACACCCACACUUUUUGGCGCAUCUACAACAACAACAAAAAGACCAGUGUAAUCCCCCAAGUGGGGCCAGGGAGGGAAGUGUGUACGCGGACCUUACCCCUACCUUAAAAAGAUAGAGAGGUUGUUUCCGAUAGACCCUCGCUACAAGAACAAUAGAACUUUUUGACCCCUCUGUAGAGAAUAAAACCGACGAGCUACUGAAAGGUAGAAAAUACCUUGUUACAGAUUAAAGAAACUUUAAUGUUCUUGUACAUUUUAGGAGCACCUAUGAGAUAUUAGCAGAGAUGAUUUGUAUCUCUUUUGGAGAGCAAGAAGCGGAAAAAAGCGAGGAGGCCUUGCUUCACCGUAGCGAGAAGCGGAAAGCGAAGCGCGCGCUUUUUUCAUGUGAAGCGCAAUUCAAUACAUAAAUAAAAAAUAUUAAAUAGACACAGAUAAAUGACUAAGAACUCAAUAAAAAUAACAUAUUAAGCAAAAAUGCUUCAAGCAGUCACUAGAGAACUAAUUCAGAACACACCUGGGGUAGCAGCAUCAACAGACCAUAUAAGGCUUUUAACAACCAUAUGUAUCUUCCAGGUUCAAGAAGCUGCAAGGAAACAGUCAAUAAGUAACUCCCCAAAAUGUUUUAAUGCAAUCAAUAAGUUGAGCACAAUCAGUACAUCCAACCACACAAAAACUAUGAGUUAAUUCAACUGACACCGUGGAAA
RNAcentral lists this long non-coding RNA (8962 nucleotides) under Nicotiana benthamiana. RNAcentral's name for it is "long non-coding RNA (NBEN_LNC012540)". Lineage: Eukaryota; Viridiplantae; Streptophyta; Magnoliopsida; Solanales; Solanaceae. The record is from RNAcentral.